This is a long non-coding RNA of Bombyx mori (domestic silkworm), 1248 nucleotides long. RefSeq lists it as uncharacterized. The transcript has 2 exons. The record is from RefSeq and is a predicted model, not a curated record. NCBI's taxonomy places the organism in Eukaryota, Metazoa, Arthropoda, Insecta, Lepidoptera, Bombycidae.
UACGCAAAUUUAUAAGUUUGACAGCUUUCAUAAUAUAUAAUAAAUACCCACGAUGUCACUCAUUCCUUCGUUUUAGAAGUCAUUCUUAAGCACGUAUUUUCUUAAGCACGUGUAAUAAUUUAAAACGAACAGGCUCAUGGUGAUUGGCGACCUUAUGAUUUGUGGAUAUAAUUGUUCAUGAACGUCAUCAAUACCAGGGGAAUCGCCCAGCCGCUGCCUACCGCAAAGUACCGUACGCAAACCUCUUUUGCAAAGAGACACAGUGGAAAAAAGUUCAUUUCGAAGCCGAAUGCUGCCUGACCGAAACGAUCUCUGAAAACGCACUGUGUAUGAACGUAGUGGUUCUAGGUAGUAUGGAUGAACUCUAGCUCGAUGCUGGGCGGUGUGAUGGUAAAAACGAGACGAUCAGAUCAUCUCAAACAGUUCUUCAGCGUACUCCCCAAAAAUAUAAUAAUACAAAACUAAGAAAGAACCGCAGUCACUACGUAGACCAGGCGAAUCCAAAGAACUUAAAAAACUGGAUUCCGAUGCUACAUCUGCAAGUAAGGUCUUCAAUGAAGCUCUUCGAAAUAUUCCUGGCCUCGUAUAUAAGAUCUAUAUUUUAAUGCAAAAAUAUUUAUACAAUAGAAUUAUGAAUUAAAGCACAGCUAGCAGUACUUUAUUGCUAUAUGCCCAUGGAAAAAAAGUUUUACAGACGAACUUAUUUAGUAUGAGGAACAAAAUAUUUUCUAAGCUACCUACUAUCAGAAGCAGUGAUACAGAUUCUAAAAAUCACAACAUACCAUACAUUAACAUAGGCACAAUUAUUUUAAGUCAUUUAGGUUUAUUUGUCGCAAGUACUUGAAUGUGAGUACUGAUACAUCUGAAUAGAAGCACAAGGUCAUAACUACCUUCUUAAAAAUCGUUUGCACUUUUUGUCUUUCCGUGGUGUCUUUACCUCUUUUAUUACAAUAAUUUUGCUACUUAUCUUGUAUAUAAAUAUAGUACUAUUGGCAUAUUAGAAUCAAAUCAACUAUACAUUUAAAAUAUAUUAGAUGAAAAUUUGAUUUUAUGUGUGUCCGAUCUUAUGACUAUAUUCUCGAGACUCGAUAAAAAAACCUAAUUCAAAUUCAACCCAAUCAGCCCACUGUUUAAUUCAAUAGACGAUGUUUUAAUUACAUAUACCAGAGUACAUUGAAAAUUAAAAAGUCUCCGAAACGUCAAAAAUAAUUGAACAAAAAUAAUAAACUCGAGAUUAAAGCAUAAAAA